ACGUCGGUCAGCUAUCCACAGUCAAAUGGAGAGAUGGAAGUAACGAACCGAACAAUCCUACACAGACUAAAAACCCGUCCUAAUAAAGCUAAAAACCUCUGGGUGGAAGAACUAUAUCCAAUCUUAUGGACGUAUCGAAUGACUCUCCACAUACCGACCGGAGAAUCCUCCUUCAAUUUAGCUUAUUGGACAGAAGCAAUGAUACCGCU
This 209-nucleotide long non-coding RNA is filed under the name Elaeis guineensis (African oil palm). RNAcentral's name for it is "long non-coding RNA (EGUI_LNC071821)". Lineage: Eukaryota; Viridiplantae; Streptophyta; Magnoliopsida; Arecales; Arecaceae. The record is from RNAcentral.